CGACGUGUAGAUCACGUAGGCGAGGUUCGCGUCCGUCACGGGGGCGCGGAGCUCGGCGGGGGCCAGGUUCUGGCCCGGCAGGCCGGCCA
RNAcentral lists this transfer RNA (89 nucleotides) under Streptomyces cinnamoneus. Its description in RNAcentral is "tRNA-Val". Lineage: Bacteria; Bacillati; Actinomycetota; Actinomycetes; Kitasatosporales; Streptomycetaceae. The record is from RNAcentral.